RNAcentral lists this ribosomal RNA (553 nucleotides) under fungal sp. P1N1. Its description in RNAcentral is "eukaryotic LSU rRNA". The stretch from base 181 to 334 matches the Rfam family "5.8S ribosomal RNA". The record is from RNAcentral. Lineage: Eukaryota; Fungi.
CUGCGGAGGACAUUACACAAAUAUGAAGGCGGGCUGGAACCUCUCGGGGUUACAGCCUUGCUGAAUUAUUCACCCUUGUCUUUUGCGUACUUCUUGUUUCCUUGGUGGGUUCGCCCACCACUAGGACAAACAUAAACCUUUUGUAAUUGCAAUCAGCGUCAGUAACAAAUUAAUAAUUACAACUUUCAACAACGGAUCUCUUGGUUCUGGCAUCGAUGAAGAACGCAGCGAAAUGCGAUAAGUAGUGUGAAUUGCAGAAUUCAGUGAAUCAUCGAAUCUUUGAACGCACAUUGCGCCCUUUGGUAUUCCAAAGGGCAUGCCUGUUCGAGCGUCAUUUGUACCCUCAAGCUUUGCUUGGUGUUGGGCGUCUUGUCUCUAGCUUUGCUGGAGACUCGCCUUAAAGUAAUUGGCAGCCGGCCUACUGGUUUCGGAGCGCAGCACAAGUCGCACUCUCUAUCAGCAAAGGUCUAGCAUCCAUUAAGCCUUUUUUUCAACUUUUGACCUCGGAUCAGGUAGGGAUACCCGCUGAACUUAAGCAUAUCAAAACGGGAAG